UACAGAGGCCCCAAGCGUUACUGAGAAUCACUGGGUUUAAAGGGUGCGUAGGUGGCGCGUUAAGUUCGUUGUGAAAUCCCUGGGCUCACCCCAGGAAAUGCUUCGAAUACUGGCGUGCUUGAGGCUAGUAGGGGUCACUGGAACUGACGGUGGAGCGGUGAAAUGCGUAGAUAGCGUCAGGAACGCCGAUGGUGAAGACAGGUGACUGGGCUAGUUCUGACACUGAGGCACGAAAGCGUGGGGAGCGAACGGG
Molecule: ribosomal RNA, 253 nt
Filed under: uncultured bacterium
Lineage: Bacteria
Description: partial 16S ribosomal RNA
Rfam family: Bacterial small subunit ribosomal RNA
Source: RNAcentral